Non-coding RNA from Clostridium beijerinckii NCIMB 8052, 235 nucleotides. NCBI's taxonomy places the organism in Bacteria, Bacillati, Bacillota, Clostridia, Eubacteriales, Clostridiaceae. The record is from Rfam.
GGAAUCCUGCAUGACAAAGGCCAGCAACCAGUCAUUAGUUAGUCUUGGGCUUAUUAUGGCGAUGUAAUAAGUUAAGUGUAGACAAACAAGGUACCAGGCCGCAAGCGAAUGCUGAAACUACUAGCCACGAAAUUAUCACAAAGUCAGAAAGGACGAUAAUAUCGGUAAAUUAGAAGUCAGAACAUAGAUAAUCAUUAUUGCAAGAAUAUCUGUGCUUUCUCGUGGUUUUAAGGUG